UACGUAGGGACCAAGCGUUGUUCGGAUUUACUGGGCGUAAAGGGCGCGUAGGCGGCGCGGUAAGUCACUUGUGAAAUCUCUGAGCUUAACUCAGAACGGCCAAGUGAUACUGCAGUGCUAGAGUGUGGAAGGGGCAAUCGGAAUUCUUGGUGUAGCGGUGAAAUGCGUAGAUAUCAAGAGGAACACCUGAGGUGAAGACGGGUUGCUGGGCCAACACUGACGCUGAGGCGCGAAAGCAUGGGUAGCAAACAGG
This 253-nucleotide ribosomal RNA is filed under the name uncultured bacterium. Its description in RNAcentral is "partial 16S ribosomal RNA". It matches the Rfam family "Bacterial small subunit ribosomal RNA", at positions 524 to 776 of the family's 1533-position model. The record is from RNAcentral.